UGAAAACUACAACUUUCCUAGAAUAA
Molecule: transfer RNA, 26 nt
Filed under: Caretta caretta (loggerhead turtle)
Lineage: Eukaryota; Metazoa; Chordata; Testudines; Cheloniidae
Description: partial tRNA-Thr
Source: RNAcentral